AACUUUCAACAACGGAUCUCUUGGCUCUCGCAUCGAUNAAGAACGCAGCGAAAUGCGAUAAGUAAUGUGAAUUGCAGAAUUCAGUGAAUCAUCGAAUCUUUGAACGCACCUUGCGCUCCUUGGUAUUCCGAGGAGCAUGCCUGUUUGAGUGUCAUG
RNAcentral lists this ribosomal RNA (156 nucleotides) under basidiomycete sp. OS-S75. RNAcentral's name for it is "5.8S ribosomal RNA". It matches the Rfam family "5.8S ribosomal RNA". Rfam says of the family: 5.8S ribosomal RNA (5.8S rRNA) is a component of the large subunit of the eukaryotic ribosome. Lineage: Eukaryota; Fungi; Basidiomycota. The record is from RNAcentral.